GACGAACGCUGGCGGCGUGCUUAACACAUGCAAGUCGAACGGAAAGGCCCUGCUUUUGUGGGGUGCUCGAGUGGCGAACGGGUGAGUAACACGUGAGUAACCUGCCCUUGACUUUGGGAUAACUUCAGGAAACUGGGGCUAAUACCGGAUAGGAGCUCCUGCUGCAUGGUGGGGGUUGGAAAGUUUCGGCGGUUGGGGAUGGAUUCGCGGCUUAUCAGCUUGUUGGUGGGGUAGUGGCUUACCAAGGCUUUGACGGGUAGCCGGCCUGAGAGGGUGACCGGCCACAAUGGGACUGAGAUACGGACCAGACUCCUACGGGAGGCAGCAGUGGGGAAUAUUGCACAAUGGGCGGAAGCCUGAUGCAGCAACGCCGCGUGCGGGAUGACGGCCUUCGGGUUGUAAACCGCUUUCGCCUGUGACGAAGCGUGAGUGACGGUAAUGGGUAAAGAAGCACCGGCUAACUACGUG
RNAcentral lists this ribosomal RNA (468 nucleotides) under uncultured bacterium. RNAcentral's name for it is "partial 16S ribosomal RNA". It matches the Rfam family "Bacterial small subunit ribosomal RNA", at positions 28 to 507 of the family's 1533-position model. The record is from RNAcentral.